GACUGGGUCACGUGACGCGGCCGGAAGUCAGCCUCCCGAGGACCAAGAGGGGUCAGAUUCUGCGAGCAAACGUGAAUGCCUGGGUGUUGGGGCCUGUGCCACACAGUAUUGCACGAGUCAAAGGACCAUCCGAAAACGGAGGUAAAGUAGGACCCACACCGCAGAGCCGUCGAGAGUUUUUGGCGAGAUGAUAUAUGAUUAGUAUGGUGCCAGGCACAGCUAACGAGACCUGGACGGGACCUCCCACUCACCCCCAUCUGAGCCUCUGGGGAAACAUCUGGACCGCGGGGGCUGAUCGAUGAUGAAGUAUUUACUUAGCUCUCCGCCCACAGUCCGGCUGGAGAGACACCCUUGGGUUCAAGGCGAAAGGCUUCCAGGAAAGGUGGCUGGGCCUCAAGGUCAUCAGUCAUCAGGAAUUGCCCACCUUGUCUCUGGGAACAGUCUGGAGCUGUCUCACGGGAAGUUCUCCUUCCUCAUUCCCGGGGAGAGUGCCCACUUCCUUUUACUCCUUUAAGCAGCAGCCCACGUCAUUACUGUUAUCACUGUUAUUAUUUUUGCCACCAUCGAUUGAGUGCUCACUGUGUUCGGGGCCCUAAGCUAACUGUGUUACAUGCAUUUCCUCAUUGAGUCCUUGCUAUAACUCUCAGGGUUUUACAGCCUGCUCGGAAUGGGAAUUCACUUUCCUGAGGUCACGAAGCUGGAAAGUAGAAGACCUGGGAUUUGAACCCAAGCAGUGUGGCUCCAGAGUCUAUGCCUUAACAGGGGUUCUGUUGGCCGGGGCUGGAGGCCACGCCAGAGACACCUCCCACCCUCUGCUCUUCCUUGCUGGAACCAACACGGCAUUCGGCGGUCAGAUAAUAGGACCUGGUGAUGCGAGGAGGCAGACAGGACCAUAAAUGAGGGGGAGCUGCCAAUCUCCAAAGAUCUCAACAAAGAAACCGGAUGGGAAGCAUUCCAACCAGAGGGAAAAGCAUGUGCAAAAGUCCUGAGGAAAGGGGCACAUAGCAGGUUCUAGUCUGACGAGGCCACAGUUGGAAGACUGGAUUCCACUCUGGACGCCCUUGCUUAUCAGGAGAAAGACAUACAUGUCACUUCGUGGGGAACGAAGGCAUCAUCCCUGGAGAAAGCCUCACCCGUGUGGCCAAGGAGACAUAUCCAAGUAUGUCCACUAUAGAAUUUUUAUCGGCAUCGACUUAGAUGCCCACCAACAGGGGACUGGACACAGGUAACUCCGUGCACGCACAUGUUUUAAGAGCACAGUCGGGGACACCCACAAAUUGGGUGGUUCAGUCAGUUAAGCAUCCUCCUUCGGCUCAGGUCAAGAUCUUGUGGUUCAGGAGUCCAAGCCCCGUGUCGGGCUCUGUGCUGACAGCUCAGAGCCUCGAGCCUGUGUCUUCCUCUCUCUCUGCCCCUCCCCUGCUCACACUCUGUCUCUCUCUCUCAAAAAUGAAUAAAUGAAAGAAAAAUUUUUAAAAAAGAUCGCAAUCAAAGUAGAUGAAACAGAGGUCUGUGUGCCAACAGGGGGAUCUUUCAAAACCGUGGCAGAGAGAGAAAAUGCUGAUCACGAAGUGAUCCGCAGCCCAUUUAAGAAACUGAAACCCCCGAGAGGCCCCGUAUGUUUUUCAGAAUUCACGUACAGUCUGUAAAACUCAUACGAAAACGGGGAUAUGCAUUCUGAAUUCACGACAGUACGUGUGGGUGGGUGGGGUUACGGAGAGACUGGGCAGCUAGACUUAGCGUAUUCUUUUUCACGACUAUAUAAUAUUCCGUUGAAGGGUGAUACAGUUGAUCCUCGAACAACACGGGUAUGCGGUGUGCGGGUCCCCUUAUGUGAGAUUUUCUUCAGGAAGCACAGCCAGGUUCCUUAGGAUUGGCUCAACGAUGUUUUCUUUCCUGCAGCUUCCUUCAUUGUAAGAAUGUGGCGUAUAUUACGCAGCACAUAUCCAACACGUGGUACAAUACCACCUACUUUUGUGAUCUGGAGGGCUUCCAGUCAACAGUCGGCUACCGGUGGUUACGUUUUCAGGGACCCACAGUUACGUGCAGAUUGUCAGCUGCACCAGGAGGCAGUCCUCCCUGACCCCCAUGUUGUUCAAGGGUUAAUUGUACUACGUUUUAUGCACAUAUUGCCCUGUUUGGAGAUACAUAGGUUGGUUCAGACGUUUUGCUGUUAACCGUGUGAGAGCCCCAUCCCUCUUUCGCGCAUUUCCAGGAAGAGAACUUUUUCUGUGCUAACAGAUUCUGUCGGUUUGUCCAAAGGUAAGCUGUGUGGGAAUAGCGGAAGCCACUUUGCAGGAUGUCCGUGAGCGUCCAAGCAUCGGCCGGACAGCCUCUUGGCGUAGCCGCGGUGGAGGGGGUUGCUGGCCCUACAUAGUCGUUGGCGUUCCUUCCAUGUGUGUGAUCCUACAAUCUCUCCUCCUUCUGCGGUGGGAUGUCCGCUUGGUACAACUCACGCCAAAAGCUCCAGCUGCAGGGAGGGGUGGGGUGGGGGGGCGUCAUCUUCUCUACAGGUUUGGAGGAGCCGACACGGACAUUUUUGCAAAAUCGCAUGUUUGUUGUUGCCAUGGUUCUGUUGUAUUUUCUUCCAGCUGAAGACAUUUUAACUAAAUGCCUGGUGUCCGGUCAGGGUUUCGAAUGAGUAAGCCUGGGUCCAAAGCCUGCGCCGGUACCCGUAGCUGUCCGAUCUCGAGCCCGUUCUUUAAGUCCUCCUUGCCUCGGUCUCCUCAUCUGUAAAAUGGGCAAAUUCAAACGCCGGCCAAACCGAUCAUCCCUUUUUGAUGAUUCCGCCGAUCCAUUAUCUCAUCUGUUCAUCAAAGGCCCCUGCAAGGAAGUCAGGCCGAGGAUGGGCCCAAGGAGAGAUGACUCAGGAAUCUGAAAGUCAAGGCCAGAAGCCUCUCUGUCAGGCGGCCCUCUGGGCUGAAUUUCUCCACUGAUCUUGGCCCAGGAGGCGGGUCAGGCUGUCCAGGCCAGGCCUGAAAUACCCACAGAGAGGCUUCCUUCCCCUUGACGCUGGACCGUGCUCCCCAGCCCCACCAGAUGGGCUGCAGAUGUGAGCUCCGGGUUGCAAGAGAGGCCAGGGGACAGGCAAAGCUCAUCUCCUUGCAUGGGAUGUCGGGCCCCAAGCCUGGUCCCGGGAGGCCACAGAAGCGUGAUGCGGGGGUCCCGGGAGUUCAAGUUCACAGAGUCUUGGCAACAGGAAGGUGGUGCUGAAGAUACGGUCACGCUCCUGUGAUGCGGGUAGCUGUCAGAGCACAUCCCGGGCAACGGCUGUCUCGUCUUGCAGCCUCCGCAUCGGCGUGGACAUAAGCCACAACCCUGUGUCAUCCCUGCAGCCCAGCCAGCCCUGGAGCAUCUGCUGGGUCGGCAGAAAGCUGCCUCUUCCAAUGGGUUAGGCCCCCACUGCCCCUCCUUCUUCAGCCUGUUCUAAGAUCCUGGAGCCCUUCCCUUGUGUCAUCUUUGCGAGUAGCCUUUGUUGACUUUAAAAAAAAAAAACAAACAAAAAGCUUGUUUUUAA
Molecule: long non-coding RNA, 3514 nt
Organism: Felis catus (domestic cat)
Lineage: Eukaryota; Metazoa; Chordata; Mammalia; Carnivora; Felidae
Exons: 5
Source: RefSeq, a predicted model, not a curated record